AGGAAGGAGGAAGCCGGAGCGGGCGGGCUCCCGCCCUAAGUUACCGUCUGCGGCCUCUCCCAGUCGGCUCCGGGCAGGCGCUGCGCGGCCUGUCGCGGUUCGCAUCUGAUGGAGAAGUGCAGGCGGGGUCCUCGUGCUCCAGCGGGUGCCGCUUUGCUCUUUCUGCCCUGUCCGCGGGACGAGCCGCAGAAUGCCGCGUCCCUCACCCUCCCCGUAGGGCUGCUGCGCGGCACCCGUCACAGCGCUCCGUGUCCUCACCGUGGAGAUGUGCUAAACGUUUGGGGUACGGGGAGACGCUGAGGUCAGCGGGUGUCUGGGAAACGCAGCAAGAGAUUCCGUGUGUCUAAGAGUGGUAGGAAGGAGAAUGAACGUUCUGAAUCCAGGUGCUCUCUGGUUCCCUCCAAAAGAUUCUGCUCUGCACUGUCAAAAAAGUAAAGCAUGGUGAAGGGGCCUGGGCACCCCUAAUGUGGGGAGUAACUGAGAGCUGGGACCGCUCAGCUGGAGAGGAGGAGGCUCGUGGGGGUGUCAUCCCCGUCCAUAAACCCUGACCCCCUCCCCUGACACAGCUCCAUGCCGUUCCCUCGGGCCCUGUCGCUGUCACACAGAGCAGAGCUCAGCGCUGCCCCUCCACUCCCUGUGAGAAGCUGCAGCCGCCAUGAGGCCUCCCCUCAGCUCCCCUGCUCUGGGCUGAGCAAACCAAAGAACUUCAGCUGCUCCUCGUACUCUCUGCCCUUCAGACCAUUCCCCAUCUUUGUAGCCCUCCUUUGGAUGGUCUCGUAGUUCCGUGUCCAUCUUAGAUUGUGUUGCCCAGAACUGCACUCAGUGCUGGAGGUGAGGCCGCAGAGCACAGCGGGACAGCCCCUUCCCUCAGCCGGCUAUCAGUGUGGGCCUGAUGCACCCCAGGUCCGACUCCACGUUGGACGAGGAGAACUCCAGAGGCAGAACUCCAGAGCUCAGCCGUGCUCUAAUCCUGUGACUACGUUUUAAGUUUGAGUUUUGCAUUUGAGGAAGAACUGCAGAAAUCUAGAAAUAAGCCUUAAAAAGCUGCCGACGCUUGUAUAGCAUGGGAAGUGGUAGAUGUUAAGUGUACUGGUGCUUCUGAGAGGUGGUGACACAGAGCUUCAGGAUGCUCAAUAGCCUCACAGAGACAGAUCUCCAGGGCAGACGGAUGUGUGCUGGCCCCACCUGAGAGCGACCUCACCACGAGGGGUCAUUUUGCCUGAACAAAGCCUUUUCUUUACUUUCCCCUCUCUCUUGCCAACCUCCGUCUAAAUAUGCUUCUGCCACUUCAGCGGUGAUUCUGGAUUAUCUGGAAUGUACACUGAAUUAAUCUCGUCUUAGAAAAGCAAUCAGAAGAGUAAUCUUUGACUCACUGGGCUGGCUCUGCUGAGCCCUUUGCAGGGAAGGAAUUACACCUCUGUCCUUCCUUGUGGGAAGCACACGGGGAUGUUCCCAUCUCUGCACUGCAUGCUAUUGCCAUGAUCGUUCUUCUGCCUGGGAUGCAGAAGGAUUCACCCUCUCUGGAAAACCUUCCUUUGGGCAUGUGCCACCUCCAGAGCAUGCUACAGCUGAGUUCAUUGCUCUACAGUAGAAGUUCAGCGGUGGAGUUGUUUUUGAAGACAGCCAGCUUCGUUCCAAGGCUUGUAGGCUCAUGGACUAACCCGGGUCAGGCAGCCAAAGGUCUCUUGUUCAGCCCCAGCAGGGCUGGCUGAUUGCUCAUGGCCUUCUUCAGUCAAGCUUGGAACACCUCCAAGGUUACAGAACCCGCAGCCUCUGCUUCAGUGCUUUUAUUUUCCCUUGUGUUGUAUCAACAUUUCCCCUUUCCUAACCUAGACUAACUGCCCUUUGUCAUACCCCAAUGUAACACACUGAGGAGCCUGGCUCCACCACCUCUUCACCUUCUCGGUGGGUAGCUGGAGACAGUAAUGAGAUCUUCUUAUCUUAAGGCCCUUUCUCCUCACAGUCUGUCUUGAUAGGCUCUUUUUGAUCCAGAGAAGAAUAUACUGAAUUUUUAUAAAACAUAGAGAUAUUUUUCAUAUCUUUCAAAUCUACCUGACCUCUGGUGGCCUACGUGGACACACCGAGCUGCCCUGGCCAAGGCAAAAUGUCCAUUAAUCCAGGCAGAGGGAGAGGCCACGUGUAAGAAGCUGUCCGGAAGGCAAUCCCCAUCCUUCAGCGACCCAUGGCAUAGCAGCAGAUUUCUUCCUCGAAGGACCGGUGCGUCUGGGUCUGGCUGACCCUGUGAUCCCUCUCGGCAGGGUUUGCCAGGGCGGUGAUGUGUUGGUGUAAAGGGCCUCACGCCGCAAAGCAUUCCACAGCGGCAUUCCAGUCUGACAAGGACAAAUAUGACCCUUCUCCAUAUGUCUGGUGAUGGACAGGCACUUCACUGCGUGGUGUGUGCACCAAGUUGUGAGGCCAGGAGCUUUCUGGCCUUUGGCAGCUGCUGUACACUGUCCCAGCACUUCUCAGCUUGUACUGUGAGGCUGGAUUUACGCUGCCUGUGCUACUCCACGUGGGCUGCAUUGGCUUGGUGUGUGCAUGCAAUGCAGUAAUGUGGACAGUCUUUGCAAAAGCCCUGCGACUGUCCUCCUCCUCAGCCUCUGCCUCUGUGACCACAACGGCCUCCAACUUCAUCUCUUCGGCCAUCCUGGGCAAGCUUCUCUUUGGGGAGACAUGGACACCACUGUGGUGGGUUGGCCUCACUGUGACGCUCUGUGGCCUUGUGCUGCUGCACACUGCUGCACCCCAGCCGACACUGCACAUGGUGGAGAAGAAGGGGUUGUGACAUCUCUCCUUUCUCCAUUUCCAGCUUGGAUAAUGCUUCAGCUAUUGCCACCUCCAGGUCCCAACCAGGUCCUCACACCAUGCACUUUCUCGGUCUCCUCAUUCUGUGCCAGAGCCUACUGAGUGCUGUCAGACCUGCCCAGCUCCCUUGCACCUUUCUCCAUCGGUCUGCAAAGUUGUGCAGGUUGCAUUUUCCAUGGUUGGCCAGGGCAGCCAUUCCGGGUGCCUGGUGGAGGUGUGGCAACAGUGACAACCUGAGGGAAAGCUGAUCAGUCUGAGUCAGUUCUCUAGAAACCAGAGCCAGAACUUAUCAGCCACCCCUCCUCUUCACACCCUGUGCUGAUGGAGCCUUGCCAGUGCCAGGACGGGAGGGAUAAAGUAAACAUAGUGGCUGUGGAAGGUGACCGUACGUUGGUACUUUUCCAUAAGAGGAACCAUCCCAAAAUGGAAAAGCAACCAGAACCAGGCACUGAAGGUUGUGGACAUUUCUGCCCUGCUGGUGGUGAUUUUCCUUGCUGCCUCUUGGAGAGGCCUCAUGCUUGCUCCAGGUUCCUAUUGUCUGGAAAGCGGUGGAGCAUUCCAUUAAUUCCUUUGGCUGCCUCUAUCACACACACCUUUUGACUUGCCAUUACGUCUGUUGCCUGUAAUUCCCAGUUUCCCAUUCCUGACGUGUUGCUCACUGUAAGGGGUUGCUUUUUCCUUUAAACUCUUAACCAGCACUGAUUUUUUAUUGCUAUUUCUGGUUAGUGUAUGUCAUACUGUAAUAUGGGGAGAACACCAUGCCAUCAGCCAGCCCUCUUCAUUAUGAGUGACCGUGAUGUACACUCAUCACUUGAGCUGACAGUUGCUUUAAGUAAAAAUGGUUUUUCUCAGGCAACAUUUUUUUUCACUUCUGGAUGGUGCUAUUUUCCAUUUGUGCAAUGUAAUUAAAUAAAUCUCUGGUUCCCUCUCGUGCUAAAUUUUGGGUAAGUGAUUACUCGUUGUUGCCAGAAUGAAAUGCCUGCCAGUAUGUUACACGUGGCAAGAAUCAUCAUUUACAAGGUGUUGGUUUCUUUCCCCUGCCUGCACGCACUUGUUUUCCAUGGUAAUUUUUGAUUGCAAUCCUAAUAAAGAAUCAUAAUGAUGCCUAAAAAUGUA
This is an RNA transcript of Gallus gallus (chicken), 3921 nucleotides long. It is a transcript of the gene named transmembrane protein 42, with no coding region annotated. NCBI's taxonomy places the organism in Eukaryota, Metazoa, Chordata, Aves, Galliformes, Phasianidae. The transcript is spliced from 4 exons. The record is from RefSeq and is a predicted model, not a curated record.